UAUGAACGCUAGCGGGAGGCUUAAUACAUGCAAGUCGUACGGUAACAGGCGUAGCAAUACGUGCUGACGAGUGGCGCACGGGUGAGUAACACGUACGCAAUCUACCUUUAACUGAGGAAUAGCUCCGGGAAACUGGAAUUAAUACCUCAUAACAUCUUGAUGUGGCAUCACAUUAAGAUUAAAACUCCGGUGGUUAAAGAUGAGCGUGCGUCUGAUUAGGUAGUUGGUAGGGUAACGGCCUACCAAGCCAACGAUCAGUAGCUGGCGUGAGAGCGCGAUCAGCCACACGGACACUGAGACACGGGUCCGACUCCUACGGGAGGCAGCAGUAGGGAAUAUUGGACAAUGGGCGAAAGCCUGAUCCAGCCAUCUCGCGUGAAGGAUGAAGGCCCUCUGGGUUGUAAACUUCUUUUAUCAGGGAAGAAACCCUUGGAUUCACUCCGAGGCUGACGGUACCUGAAGAAUAAGCACCGGCUAACUCCGUGCCAGCAGCCG
This 495-nucleotide ribosomal RNA is filed under the name uncultured bacterium. RNAcentral's name for it is "bacterial SSU rRNA". It matches the Rfam family "Bacterial small subunit ribosomal RNA", at positions 29 to 517 of the family's 1533-position model. The record is from RNAcentral.